AUUGAACGCUGGCGGAAUGCUUUACACAUGCAAGUCGAACGGCAGCACGGGGGCAACCCUGGUGGCGAGUGGCGAACGGGUGAGUAAUACAUCGGAACGUGCCCAGUCGUGGGGGAUAACGUAGCGAAAGCUACGCUAAUACCGCAUACGAUCUACGGAUGAAAGCGGGGGAUCGCAAGACCUCGCGCGAUUGGAGCGGCCGAUGGCAGAUUUAGGUAGUUGGUGGGGUAAAGGCUCACCAAGCCUUCGAUCUGUAGCUGGUCUGAGAGGACGACCAGCCACACUGGGACUGAGACACGGCCCAGACUCCUACGGGAGGCAGCAGUGGGGAAUUUUGGACAAUGGGCGAAAGCCUGAUCCAGCCAUUCCGCGUGCAGGAUGAAGGCCCUCGGGUUGUAAACUGCUUUUGUACGGAACGAAACGGCCUUUUCUAAUACAGAGGGCUAAUGACGGUACCGUAAGAAUAAGCACCGGCUAACUACGUGCCAGCAGCCGCGGUAAAGUCG
Molecule: ribosomal RNA, 506 nt
Filed under: uncultured bacterium
Lineage: Bacteria
Description: bacterial SSU rRNA
Rfam family: Bacterial small subunit ribosomal RNA
Source: RNAcentral